RNAcentral lists this ribosomal RNA (884 nucleotides) under uncultured archaeon. RNAcentral's name for it is "bacterial SSU rRNA". It matches the Rfam family "Archaeal small subunit ribosomal RNA", at positions 1 to 892 of the family's 1478-position model. The record is from RNAcentral.
CUCCCGGUUGAUCCUGCCGGAACCCGAUUGCUAUCAGAGUGGGAAUAAGCCAUGCGAGUCAACGUAGCAAUACGUGGCAUACGGCUCAGUAACACGUAGUCAACAUGCCCAGAGGACGUGGAUAACCUCGGGAAACUGAGGAUAAACCGCGAUAGGUCAGGAUUUCUGGAAUGAUUCUUGGCUGAAAUCUACAUGGCCUCUGGAUUGGACUGCGACCGAUCAGGCUGUUGGUGAGGUAAUGGCCCACCAAACCUGUUACCGGUACGGGCUCUGAGAGGAGGAGCCCGGAGAUGGGCACUGAGACAAGGGCCCAGGCCCUAUGGGGCGCAGCAGGCGCGAAACCUCUGCAAUAGGCGAAAGCUUGACAGGGUUACUCUGAGUGGUUUCCGCUAAGGGAAUCUUUUGGCACCUCUAAAAAUGGUGCAGAAUAAGGGGUGGGCAAGUCUGGUGUCAGCCGCCGCGGUAAUACCAGCACCCCGAGUGGUCGGGACGAUUAUUGGGCCUAAAGCAUCCGUAGCCGGUCCUGCGAGUCUUCCGUUAAAUCCAGCUGCUCAACAGAUGGGCUGCGGAAGAUACUACAGGGCUAGGAGGCGGGAGAGGCAAGCGGUACUUUAUGGGUAGGGGUAAAAUCCUUUGAUCCACAGAAGACCACCAGUGGCGAAGGCGGCUUGCCAGAACGCGCUCGACGGUGAGGGAUGAAAGCUGGGGGAGCAAACCGGAUUAGAUACCCGGGUAGUCCCAGCUGUAAACGAUGCAGACUCGGUGAUGGGUUGGCCUCGCGCUAACUCAGUGCCGCAAGGAAAGCCCGUUAGUCUGCCGCCCUGGGGCGUACGGUUGCUAGACGGAAACUUUAAGGAAUUGGCUGGGGAAGCUCAAGGGCAAUA